AUGAGGAGGUCGGUUACCUAUUAAGAUGUCCAUGGUCGUCACGUUUAGUUACUAGUAUUUUUUCUCUUUUGUUUCUGUUUUUUGUGCAUUUUCCAUUUGAGUUUUCUAUUGUUGAGCCUCAGAUAUUUGGUAGACGCUUAAUGGUGGAAUGAUUGGACCGGAUUUAGGGUUGUGUUCUCAGAUUGGCGGGCAGUUACACUGGUUGUUGUUUUUUAACGAAGGGCUAUGAGUGCGCUGGUGUCAGUGUAGAUACAUAUGUAUGCGUACAUGUGGUUUUUGUUGUUCUUCUACUUAUAGAUCGCUAAAAUCUGAGUUUGAGAAAUGCGGGACCAUCCAUGUCCGAAUAUAACUGACGCAUUUUGUAGCUAGAACACGUUUUUCCUACAAUUAUCCCGCUCCUCUUAGAAAAAUUCUGCUUUCACUCCAACUCUUCAUCAUUUUAUAAGAAUUUGUCUACCAUUACCACACCCACACACAAACAUUACGGCUAGUAGUUUAUUAGUCAAAUUUCCAUGGCCACACAUUUUGUCUUUUUCUCGUUUUCUUAUUGUGUUUUCUGUCACUGUGAAAGUGACGGAGAAAAAGGAGUUUGGAAUCAGAUUUGCAAAACGGGCUGUAUCAAUAAUACUGUCAUUCCUAAUGUCUGAUUCAUCGUCAACUCUGUAAAAAGAGAACAAGAAAGGDAAAAUUGAUGGGCAAAAGUAUAUAUAGAAAUGGUUUAUUCCCGUUUUUUCCAUUUCUCAGUAGAUUUUUCCCUUUUGCGAGAAUAAAUUGACACUUGAACAAAAAGCUUCGAAGAAAAAUCUAUUCACUGAACUUAUAUAUAGAAAAAUCAAAUGUGCUAAGUAUAUUUAAAAUGGAAACAAAUAGGGGGAAAGAGAUAGGUAGAUAAACAGCCCAAGGGACAAGGACACCCUUCCUCAGGCACUGAAUAUAUUGGAGAGUGGACAGUAACAGAGAAAUGAUACAAGAUGGAAAGCCAUAAAUUGAGAUUUUCUUGAAUGGGUUCAUUUAGAUAUUUCUCUUUAGCCAUUUUUGAUAAUCAAUACAGUAUUCUUGUUCCCAUCCUUGUCAGAUUAAGGAAGGAACAUUAAUUCCAAACAGGAAAAACUGUGUGUUCACUUCGUGGGUUUGCGUGUUGUACAUUUCCUUCAUCCGUGUUGGCGGUUACUUUCCUCAAUAUACCUUCAGUGCAUACAAAUUUUUGGAACAAUU
This 1215-nucleotide telomerase RNA is filed under the name Saccharomyces kudriavzevii. RNAcentral's name for it is "Saccharomyces telomerase". It matches the Rfam family "Saccharomyces telomerase". Lineage: Eukaryota; Fungi; Ascomycota; Saccharomycetes; Saccharomycetales; Saccharomycetaceae. The record is from Rfam by way of RNAcentral.